RNAcentral lists this ribosomal RNA (415 nucleotides) under uncultured bacterium. RNAcentral's name for it is "bacterial SSU rRNA". It matches the Rfam family "Bacterial small subunit ribosomal RNA", at positions 361 to 774 of the family's 1533-position model. The record is from RNAcentral.
AUAUUGGGCAAUGGCCGAGAGGCUGACCCAGCCAUGACGCGUGCAGGAAGAAGGCCUUCUGGGUUGUAAACUGCUUUUAUCGGGGAAGAAAACGCUCCUGCGGGAGUAACUGACGGUACCCGAUGAAUAAGCACCGGCUAACUCCGUUCCAGCAGCCGCGGUAAUACGGAGGGUGCAGGCGUUGUCCGGAUUGAUUGGGUUUAAAGGGUGCGUAGGCGGCCCGUUAAGUCAGCGGUGAAAUCCCACGGCUCAACCGUGGAGCUGCCGUUGCUACUGGCGGGCUUGAGUUCGGUCGAGGCGGGCGGAACUGGCGGUGUAGCGGUGAAAUGCUUAGAUACCGCCAAGAACCCCGAUUGCGUAGGCAGCUCGCUGGGCCGAAACUGACGCUGCGGCACGAAAGCGUGGGGAGCGAACA